UUACGGUCAAAUCACGCUGAAAACACCGGUUCUCGUUCGAUCACCGAAGUUAAGCAUCGUAGAGCCAGGUCUUCCGUUUUAGUACUUAGAUGGGGGACCUUCGCUUGGGAACACCUGGUACUGUAAGC
This is a non-coding RNA of Acanthosepion pharaonis, 128 nucleotides long. The record is from the annotation of a GenBank genome assembly. Lineage: Eukaryota; Metazoa; Mollusca; Cephalopoda; Sepiida; Sepiidae.